AUGGCUGCGCCCUUCCUCUACACCCGCAGCUCCGGCAACGGCACAAGUCAGGACGCGGCCAUGCGAGCGGCGUUCGACGGCGACCUCCGGCGCCUCAGAGGUACUGUAAAGAGCCUCGACGACCCAAGGGUGAUCUUCUCUUUCGACAUGGGUUAUGGCCUUGGUGUGCUGCACAUCGCAGCCGCCGGAGGGCAUCUUGAGGUUUGCAAAUACUUGGUGGAGGAACUCGGGGGAGAUGUGAAUGCUCCUGCUCCUGGAGUAGUAGACUUUGCAGGCGUGACACCCUUUAUGUUAUCUGCUCAGUCUGGCGAUGUUUCUACUGUGAAGUAUUUGCUUGAUCAUGGUGGUGAUCUAAUAAAAGCAGAUGCUAAAGGACGCACAGUUCUCCACCAUGCGGCAGGCAUAGGAAGCUGUAAGGUUACUGAGUUCCUACUCUCAAAAGGAGUACCCGUUGACAUAGACUGUGGCCGUGGUACACCACUCCAUCAAGCUGCUACCAAUGAACAUGAUAAAACAGUGAAGAUUUUGUUGGAACACCAUGCAGAUCCAAACACCACUGUCAUCGGAAUGGGUACUGCCCUGAUGGGUGCUUUAUUGUAUCGUUCUUUGAAGUGCAUGAAGCUGCUGAUUAAGGCUGGUGCUGAUGUCAAUCGAGGGGGCUCCCUUCCGAUGACUCCAUUAGUGUUCACUACAGGGUGGGGAGGCUAUACCAACUUUGUGAAGUUUCUGUUAAAGGCAGGAGCGGAUCCUAAUAUUCCUGAUGUUUAUGGUAGGUUACCGAUAGAGCUUGCUGCUAGACGUGACUGCAAGGAAGAAGUUGAAAUGUUGUUUCCUUUGACAUCCCCAAUUCCAACCAUCCCAAACUGGAGUAUAGAUGGAAUCAUCUCGCAUGCAAAAUUGGAAAGUGCAAAGCCACUGGGUGGAAGGCACCUUGAACAAACAAAAGCUGUACUCAAGUCGCAUGCAGAUCAGGCAUUCAGGCUCAAGGACUAUAAGUUGGCAUCAAAAGCAUAUGGUGUGGCAAUAGAUGCCGCGCCGACUGCAACAUUGUACGCGAACAGGAGUCUUUGCAAACUGCUGCUGGAUGAUGGUGAAGGUGCUCUGUCAGAUGCUCUCAGAUGCAGAAUGCUGCGACCUAACUGGGUGAAAGCUUGCUACCGUCAGGCUGCAGCUCACAUGCUACUCAAAGAGUAUAAGCAAGCUUGUGAUGCUCUCCUGGACGCUCAAAAGUUGGAUCCUGGAAACGUAGAGGUCGAGAGAGAGCUACGGAAGGCCAGGGAAUUAAUGAAAGCUCACGGUGAGGCUGACAAGUGA
RNAcentral lists this ribosomal RNA (1314 nucleotides) under Triticum aestivum (bread wheat). Its description in RNAcentral is "partial small subunit ribosomal RNA". The record is from RNAcentral. Lineage: Eukaryota; Viridiplantae; Streptophyta; Magnoliopsida; Poales; Poaceae.